This 300-nucleotide ribosomal RNA is filed under the name uncultured Desulfitobacterium sp. RNAcentral describes it as "bacterial SSU rRNA". It matches the Rfam family "Bacterial small subunit ribosomal RNA", at positions 496 to 795 of the family's 1533-position model. Lineage: Bacteria; Bacillati; Bacillota; Clostridia; Eubacteriales; Desulfitobacteriaceae. The record is from RNAcentral.
GCCAACGACGGGGCGUGUGCCGGGGUGAUACGGUGGGGGGGAGCUUGGUCCGGAAUUAGUGGGCGUAAAGGGCGCGUAGGCGGUCCGUCACGUCGGGAGUGAAAACUCGGGGCUCAACCCCAAGCUUGCUCUCGAUACGGGCGGACUAGAGGUAGGUAGGGGAGAACGGAAUUCCUGGUGUAGCGGUGGAAUGCGCAGAUAUCAGGAGGAACACCGGUGGCGAAGGCGGUUCUCUGGGCCUUACCUGACGCUGAGGAGCGAAAGCGUGGGGAGCGAACAGGAUUAGAUACCCUAGUAGUC